UUUUCCUCCCCCCAAACACCGACUCUCCAUACCCGAUCAUGAUCUCCUCUUCCCAUUUCCUCUCGUUCUCUCUCUCGGACGAUUCGAUGCCGAGGCCGAAGGAGCACAUCACCGGAGCUCGACGGAAACCAGCGGAGUCACUGGAGCUCGACGGAAACUAGUGGGCUCCAGGUCGUCUUCGACCGAGGAGUCUCUGUUCGGUGGAUGCUGUGACCGAUCGUCAAUGACACGGCGGCUAGGGCACGGCGGGAGGCUUGAUUCGCGUCGUCUCCCAACCAAUUGACCUCCCCUUUCCUCUCCUCACGUUGCUCACAGAGCGAUCCACCUCUUCACAGGCCAAAUCAGACCGAGCGACGCCAUCGGGAGGUGAUCAAGAAAGGAGGGAAGCGUCAGAUCUAUCCAGCGACGACGGUGUGGGUGAGUUAAUUUAGGUCAUGGAUUGGUUUCGGUUGAAGAUGAUGAGAUGUUCUUGAGCUGUCGGGCAGAGGCUAAAAGGAUUGUUGCUGGAUCAAUGAUCUUCUUGCUUGAUUCCUUAUUGAUUCGAACGGUAGAGUGGAAUCCAGCAGGGUGUUGUUCUGUGUAUUUUCUUUGGUUCCAGCAGUAGCUACCUUUCCUGGCAGCAACAAUACUUUGUGUGGAGCAACAUAAAGGGGGUUGAGCUUGAGGACUCUAAUUCGAGUCGAGCGUCUCGACAUCAGAUUUAGCUUGAUUAGACCUUCUAUUUGAGGCGGGUAUUUCUUCCUUGGCCUCUACGUAGUUUUUCUUAAUCUUAGUGCAUGGUUAUUAUGUGAUGAUUUAGGUUGUUUUACCUUAUAUCGUGUUCGUUUUUUGCUUUCAUGCAUGAUACUUAUGCUUGACCCUUGUGAUAAUCUAUUUAAUUAUUAUACAGUCUACACUUUGGUUAUCUAGACUCUGUGGUAUUUUUACAUGUAGAGUAUGUAUGGUCGGGGAUAUUUCAUUGGCGGUGUUCAUAUGAUGAUUGUCCAUUUGUAUGUCGUGUAUACAUUUGUCUGGUGUGAUGAUUUGAGGAGUUGUGUUGAUUGUAUAUUUGUUAUAUAUACAUGUGUCUGAUGUGUUUUACUGGAGGAUACAUGUUGAUUGUACCUAUGUUCUGUGUACAUAUGUCUAGGGGGAUUAUUGGUGAUUUUUUGUUGAUUAUAUAUGUGAGGUUGUGAGCAUGUGUCUGGUGUGAUAUGUGGAGGUAUCAUGACGAUUAUACUCAUGUUGUGGGGUAUUUAUGUGGAUUGGAUUGUUGAAUUGAUGAUG
Zingiber officinale is the source of this 1266-nucleotide long non-coding RNA. RefSeq lists it as uncharacterized. Lineage: Eukaryota; Viridiplantae; Streptophyta; Magnoliopsida; Zingiberales; Zingiberaceae. The record is from RefSeq and is a predicted model, not a curated record. The transcript is spliced from 3 exons.